GACGAACGCUGGCGGCGUGCUUAACACAUGCAAGUCGAACGGAAAGGCCCUGCUUUUGUGGGGUGCUCGAGUGGCGAACGGGUGAGUAACACGUGAGUAACCUGCCCUUGACUUUGGGAUAACUUCAGGAAACUGGGGCUAAUACCGGAUAGGAGCUCCUGCUGCAUGGUGGGGGUUGGAAAGUUUCGGCGGUUGGGGAUGGACUCGCGGCUUAUCAGCUUGUUGGUGGGGUAGUGGCUUACCAAGGCUUUGACGGGUAGCCGGCCUGAGAGGGUGACCGGCCACAUUGGGACUGAGAUACGGCCCAGACUACUACGGGAGGCAGCAGUGGGGAAUAUUGCACAAUGGGCGGAAGCCUGAUGCAGCAACGCCGCGUGCGGGAUGACGUCCUUCGGGUUGUAAACCGCUUUCGCCUGUGACGAAGCGUGAGUGACGGUAAUGGGUAAAGAAGCACCGGCUAACUACGUG
RNAcentral lists this ribosomal RNA (468 nucleotides) under uncultured bacterium. Its description in RNAcentral is "partial 16S ribosomal RNA". It matches the Rfam family "Bacterial small subunit ribosomal RNA", at positions 28 to 507 of the family's 1533-position model. The record is from RNAcentral.